AUACGGAGGAUGCGAGCGUUAUCCGGAUUUAUUGGGUUUAAAGGGUGCGUAGGCUGUGCGUUAAGUCAGGGGUGAAAUGCCGUCGCUCAACGACGGAGCUGCCCUUGAUACUGGCGUGCUGGAGUACGGAUGCCGUUGGAGGAAUGAGUGGUGUAGCGGUGAAAUGCUUAGAUAUCACUCAGAACACCGAUUGCGAAGGCAUCUGACGAAUCCGUCACGGACGCUGAGGCACGAAAGCGUGGGGAUAGAACAGGAUUAGAUACCCUGGUAUUCCACGCCGUAAACGAUGAUGACUAACCGUCGGCGAUAGACAGCCGGUGGCCAAGCGAAAGCGAUAAGUCAUCCACCUGGGGAGUACGUCGGCAACGAUGAAACUCAAAUGAAUUGGCGGGG
Molecule: ribosomal RNA, 393 nt
Filed under: uncultured bacterium
Lineage: Bacteria
Description: partial 16S ribosomal RNA
Rfam family: Bacterial small subunit ribosomal RNA
Source: RNAcentral